UAGUUGGCAACCCAAUACUACGCAUCAUAUCUAUUACGCAUCAUUGUAAGAUUGUAAAUUUUGUUUAAAGACUUGACGAAAAUAAAAACAUUGAUGAAUCUCACGUCGAAUGUGAUGUAGAAAUGAUAAUGGACAAAAAAUCGGACCGAUUAAUUCUUGCGAUACUGUGCUCACAUGUAUUACAAGCAAGAGAUGAUAGAGCAAAAGAAUUCUUAACUCUCCUUAGCACGUUUUGGGUUCAUUGUCGAUCACAAAUUUCUUUUAAGGAGCUCGUCUUAACCGCUGUAGAAGAUGCAUAUUUUUGAAAAUUCGCCAAAUUGUUCAGCAACGCUAAAAGAUCGUCAAGUUACAUCUUUCAUAACAUGUACGGAAUACCAUUCGUGGAUUAUGGAUGAGAGGAAUACGAAGAAAGAGGAAUCAAAGAGAUGGUGGUUCUCGGAUUUUUAAGAAACUAUGCUCGUCACGUACAAGGGAAGCGAAGUAAAAAGAGACUUCUUGAGAGCAAUCAUUAUCGGAGCAUCAAUUUAGAAUACCCCAAUUAUCGAACGAAAUUCGAGGACCUUAUAUCAUGGUGGGGGAAGGGGUAUGAAAGAUGCGCAAAAUAAUUGUCUCCUGGAAGAAAUAACAUACAGUAACCAAAAGAAGAAAAGACUGCAUUGCGUGUUCUAUGAAAGUUGUCAUAUUCAGGCAAUGGUGCUGCGAAUGAAAACAUAAAAAAAUAAAAUAAAUGCGAACGAAAAUAGACAGAAAGAAACCAUUUUUUCGCAGCACCUUUCCCUUCAUCCAUGAUCAGCAGCCGACUGCCGACAGGAAGAAUGCGGAACCCCUUACAACAGGGAUUUCACAAAAAUGUAGAGAGUGCAGCUCUCGAUCAAUAAUGACGAAAAAUAGAAGCUGUAUAAAUCCAAAAGCGGUCCAGUUCUAGCUAUUUAUAUAUAUAUACAUACAUAUAUUUAUAUCUCGGCUACAUAUCUCUUUCAUACAUACAUUGUUUAUAAAACAGUGCAUGUGCAUCUGUACCAUUGAUACUUUGUACCGAGCAGUGCAUUUAAUAAUAUCGAAUUGUAUAUGUAAUAUAUUUAUAAGGAUCUAUAUCUGCGAAACACAUGAUUUCCAGAAGUGAAAAUUUUUUAUAUUUCAGAUUUACUAUCUCAUACCAUAACAUCAGUCAAAUUUCGUCUCGAUCAGUUACAAGUGCUUUUAUGAAGUACAACCGAAAUUUGUUAAAAUAUUUUCUUUGCGAAACCGUUACAGUUAACUACUAUUGUAUACUAAUUUUAAUUAUUAUUUAUAAUUUAUUAUUAAAUUAUUAAUAAAAACUAGAGAUUUAAAUUA
Long non-coding RNA from Vespa crabro (European hornet), 1335 nucleotides. RefSeq lists it as uncharacterized. The record is from RefSeq and is a predicted model, not a curated record. The transcript is spliced from 2 exons. NCBI's taxonomy places the organism in Eukaryota, Metazoa, Arthropoda, Insecta, Hymenoptera, Vespidae.